ACGGGUGAGUAACAUUUAGGAAUCUGCCUAGUAGUGGGGGAUAGCUCGGGGAAACUCGAAUUAAUACCGCAUACGACCUACGGGUGAAAGGGGGCGCAAGCUCUUGCUAUUAGAUGAGCCUAAAUCAGAUUAGCUAGUUGGUGGGGUAAAGGCCUACCAAGGCGACGAUCUGUAACUGGUCUGAGAGGAUGAUCAGUCACACCGGAACUGAGACACGGUCCGGACUCCUACGGGAGGCAGCAGUGGGGAAUAUUGGACAAUGGGGGCAACCCUGAUCCAGCCAUGCCGCGUGUGUGAAGAAGGCCUUUUGGUUGUAAAGCACUUUAAGCAGGGAGGAGAGGCUAAUGGUUAAUACCCAUUAGAUUAGACGUUACCUGCAGAAUAAGCACCGGCUAACUCUGUGCCAGCAGCCGCGGUAAUACAGAGGGUGCGAGCGUUAAUCGGUAUUACUGGGCGUAAAGCGAGUGUAGGUGGCUCAUUAAGUCACAUGUGAAAUCCCCGGGCUUAACCUGGGAACUGCAUGUGAUACUGGUGGUGCUAGAAUAUGUGAGAGGGAAGUAGAAUUCCAGGUGUAGCGGUG
This 580-nucleotide ribosomal RNA is filed under the name uncultured bacterium. RNAcentral describes it as "bacterial SSU rRNA". It matches the Rfam family "Bacterial small subunit ribosomal RNA", at positions 102 to 683 of the family's 1533-position model. The record is from RNAcentral.